Molecule: ribosomal RNA, 497 nt
Filed under: uncultured bacterium
Lineage: Bacteria
Description: partial 16S ribosomal RNA
Rfam family: Bacterial small subunit ribosomal RNA
Source: RNAcentral
GAUGAACGCUGGCGGCGUGCCUAAUACAUGCAAGUCGAGCGAACAGACUAGGAGCUUGCUCCUCUGACGUUAGCUGCGGACGGGUGAGUAACACGUGGAUAACCUACCUAUAAGACUGGGAUAACUUCGGGAAACCGGAGCUAAUACCGGAUAAUAUAUUGAACCGCAUGGUUCAAUAGUGAAAGACGGUUUUGCUGUCACUUAUAGAUGGAUCCGCGCCGCAUUAGCUAGUUGGUAAGGUAACGGCUUACCAAGGCAACGAUGCGUAGCCGACCUGAGAGGGUGAUCGGCCACACUGGAACUGAGACACGGUCCAGACUCCUACGGGAGGCAGCAGUAGGGAACCUUCCGCAAUGGGCGAAAGCCUGACGGAGCAACGCCGCGUGAGUGAUGAAGGUCUUCGGAUCGUAAAACUCUGUUAUUAGGGAAGAACAAAUGUGUAAGUAACUAUGCACGUCUUGACGGUACCUAAUCAGAAAGCCACGGCUAACUACGUG